RNAcentral lists this ribosomal RNA (488 nucleotides) under uncultured bacterium. RNAcentral describes it as "bacterial SSU rRNA". It matches the Rfam family "Bacterial small subunit ribosomal RNA", at positions 28 to 526 of the family's 1533-position model. The record is from RNAcentral.
GACGAACGCUGGCGGCGUGCUUAACACAUGCAAGUCGAGCGGUAAGGCUCCCUUUGGGGGGUACACGAGCGGCGAACGGGUGAGUAACACGUGAGUAAUCUGCCCUUCACUCUGGGAUAAGCACCGGAAACGGUGUCUAAUACCGGAUACGACCAACUGCUGCAUGGUGUGUUGGUGGAAAGUUUUUUCGGUGGGGGAUGUGCUCGCGGCCUAUCAGCUUGAUGGUGGGGUAAUGGCCUACCAUGGCGUCGACGGGUAGCCGGCCUGAGAGGGUGACCGGUCACACUGGGACUGAGACACGGCCCAGACUCCUACGGGAGGCAGCAGUGGGGAAUAUUGGACAAUGGGCGGAAGCCUGAUCCAGCAACGCCGCGUGAGGGAUGACGGCCUUCGGGUUGUAAACCUCUUUCAUCACCGACGAAGCCUUUGGGUGACGGUAGGUGGAGAAGAAGCACCGGCCAACUACGUGCCAGCAGCCGCCGUAACAC